CUACUGCUGAGGAGUGCUAUACUAGGACGAAACGGCCGUCCGGUGC
RNAcentral lists this non-coding RNA (46 nucleotides) under Schistosoma haematobium. Lineage: Eukaryota; Metazoa; Platyhelminthes; Trematoda; Strigeidida; Schistosomatidae. The record is from RNAcentral.